AGUGAACGCUGGCGGUAGGCCUAACACAUGCAAGUCGAACGGCAGCACAGUAAGAGCUUGCUCUUACGGGUGGCGAGUGGCGGACGGGUGAGGAAUACAUCGGAAUCUACUUUUUCGUGGGGGAUAACGUAGGGAAACUUACGCUAAUACCGCAUACGACCUACGGGUGAAAGCAGGGGAUCUUCGGACCUUGCGCGAUUGAAUGAGCCGAUGUCGGAUUAGCUAGUUGGCGGGGUAAAGGCCCACCAAGGCGACGAUCCGUAGCUGGUCUGAGAGGAUAAUCAGCCACACUGGAACUGAGACACGGUCCAGACUCCUACGGGAGGCAGCAGUGGGGAAUAUUGGACAAUGGGCGCAAGCCUGAUCCAGCCAUACCGCGUGGGUGAAGAAGGCCUUCGGGUUGUAAAGCCCUUUUGUUGGGAAAGAAAAGCAGCAGGUUAAUACCCCGCUGUCCUGACGGUACCCAAAGAAUAAGCACCGGCUAACUUCGUG
This 492-nucleotide ribosomal RNA is filed under the name uncultured bacterium. Its description in RNAcentral is "partial 16S ribosomal RNA". It matches the Rfam family "Bacterial small subunit ribosomal RNA", at positions 29 to 507 of the family's 1533-position model. The record is from RNAcentral.